AGCGAACGCUGGCGGCGUGCUUAACACAUGCAAGUCGAACGUGAAUGGGAGCAAUCCCUAGUAAAGUGGCGUACGGGUGAGUAAUGCAUAGGUAAUCUACCCCAAAGUUUGGAAUAACCUGCCGAAAGGCGGGCUAAUACUGGAUAGAGCGAUGGAAUCCGUAAUUGGGUUUUUCGGAAAGGGAGGAAGCAAUUCCCUUCGCUUUGGGAUGAGCCUAUGUCUCAUUAGCUAGUUGGCGGGGAAUGGCCCACCAAGGCUUUGAUGGGUAGCUGGUCUGAGAGGAUGAUCAGCCACACUGGAACUGAAACACGGUCCAGACUCCUACGGGAGGCAGCAGUGGGGAAUCUUGCGCAAUGGACGAAAGUCUGACGCAGCCACGCCGCGUGAGUGAAGAAGGCC
This 399-nucleotide ribosomal RNA is filed under the name uncultured bacterium. RNAcentral's name for it is "bacterial SSU rRNA". It matches the Rfam family "Bacterial small subunit ribosomal RNA", at positions 29 to 416 of the family's 1533-position model. The record is from RNAcentral.